ACCCUCAGCUGCAGGUCUGUUGGAGUUUGCUGGAGGUUCACUCCAGACCCUGUUUGCCUGGGUAUCAGCAGCGGAGGCUGCAGAACAGUGGACCUUAUCUGUAACUGAAAUUAUUUCUUUUAAAAAACAGAGAUCUGAAGCAGAUAUGACAACAUAUUAAUUUCUGUUUAAUUUCAGUUGUAGAAAAACAAAUGUUUAUUAUAUUUUGAAAAUGUCUCUGUUUUUUGUGUUUUGUAACAUAAAACAGGAAGAAACUGGCCCAUCCUCAAAGAGAGGGGAAGGUCAGUCCAAUGAGUUUGGUUUGCUGAGCCCCACUCAGGAAUUCAUGGAGAAAUCAAGUUCCAUGUGGCUUCCAUUGCACCUUCCAGAAAAGAGUCAGAAAAUACACCCAGGAGACCAUGCCAGAGAGGAAGGUGUAAGAUUCUGGAAACUGCAGCCUCCUACAUUUGGUACCUGCCACUUUCACUUCAGUUUCUGACAGCAAUCAGCAGGUUCUCAGAACCAAAAGGGCCUGCAGGAUUGUCCUCAGAAGCAUCAGGGAUGUGAGGGCUGGGAAGGCUGAGUUUCACUCUGCAGCCAGGUUUGAAGAGAUAGAGCCUGAGCAAAAAAAUGGGGAUGGUUUCAGUUAAUGCAGUGAGAGGAAACAGUAUAGCCCUGGUGUGGAGAAGAAGGAGAAUAAGUGAACUUAAUGAGAUCCUCAUUCUACACAGAUUCCUGAAAUGCCCUAACAUACAAUCACAUUGCCAUAAGCACUUAGAGUCUUCUUCUGCAUACUGCUCCAUGGGAAUAUUUCAGAAUUCUUGGAGAGCUGAUCCAACACAAUAGAUCCUAAGUUCCUUGACCUUUCUUAAUCCCACUGAACAUUGUUUCCACUCCUAUAUGGCUGUGUCUUACCUAUAUAUCAUCAUUUGGCUCUUCCUU
This 921-nucleotide long non-coding RNA is filed under the name Homo sapiens (human). RNAcentral describes it as "non-protein coding lnc-CADM1-12:1". Lineage: Eukaryota; Metazoa; Chordata; Mammalia; Primates; Hominidae. The record is from RNAcentral.